GUUUAAGGUAAGUAUUAUUUUAUUAUUUUAAUCUAUUUAUAGGUAUUUUAUAACUAAUUAAUUAUUUCUUUCUUCUAGGUCUAAUGGAUUAUUGAUUAAAGGACAUCCAAAGUAUUGGUUCCUAUCAGCAAGGUGGGUCGUGCUGCUUCACUGAUGUCUGCAACAACUAAUGCUAAGACAGCACUGCAAUGGGUUUCUGUGGCUCUGGAACCAUCAUGUUGGCAACUUGACUCUGCAGGUGGGCUACUUGUUGUCUCAGCUCUAAAAUAGCACCUUCUGAGUACUCAGGGCAUUUUGGCUUUGGCUUUGACACUUUAAGUUGCCCUUGCAAGUCUUUGACUUGUUUUCUUAGGUUGUCAACCUCAGCACUAAGGGUUUCUUCUUCUUGGCUAACAUAAGUCUCAGCCCUGACAGCAUGGGAGCUGGCACGAAACUUUGCAUUACCAAGAUGCUUUUUCAUUCUCAUCUCUUUGGCAAUGUGCUUAUCUUCUUCCAUACGCAGAUGGAACAAUAGCUCAGAAAAUGAGGGUGGGUUAUUCUUCUUCUGCUCCAGCUGGAGGUCAGCAAGUAACCCAUUAUCCCAACAUCCACGACAAAACUGGCGUAACAGGUGCCUGUUCUCCUCACUGGUGGGUAGACUGCCUUGUUUGAUCACUUUACUUAAAACAAUGUAGAGCCUUUGGAGGUAUUCGGACGGCUUUUCACCAGCAUCCUGUAGAGUAUUCAGAAAUCUUGCGAAGAGCUCAUCACCGUCUUCAACAGUGGCGAAAGCUGAGUCAAGUAGGUCUAGAUAAGCUCUUGGAGUAGCCUGUGGACUCAGAUGCUUUACUAGAUUAGCUGCUGGAGGCAAAAGACUAUCAAGAACUCUUCUGGAUCGACACAAGUCUGACACUGCAGGGUCUUGCAACAGUAGUUCAACGUUGUUUCUCCAUGUCUCAUAGUCAACCUCAUUAUUAGGAUGGGGUUUCUUCCCUGAAAAGACUCUAAGCCUUACUGGGGCAUUUGCAUGUGCUGCAGUUUCUCCACUCCUUACAACAUGUUCAACAACAACGCGUUGAAUAGCAGGAGGGUUCAAUUCCUCUGGUGUGAGCACCACAUUAUGUUCAGAUCGUCUCUCUGAGUUAAUCGCUGGGAAGCUCUGAGCAUUCGUUGGUGACUGUGGAUAAGCUGAUGACACUUGAUUUGUAGGUUCUGCCUCCCAUGAACUGGAACUAUCUUGGAUUCGGCCAGUUUGGUUAUCUUCUUGACAUGUCAUUGUUUCACGACACAGAAGGAGUUGCUCUUGUAGAAGUUCUGUUAACGGCUUCCUGCUUUGUGCUGCUAGCUUUUGGAAUUCGGCUAGGAACCAGUUUGCAUCAGUUUUUGUGGCUGAAGGCAUGUAUACGCUUGCCAAAGCAGUUAUCUUGUAGGAGACAUCUUUUUGCCUUGAACUACGGUAAGUAUAUGGCAGUAAGGGUUUUAGAGUACUGAGAGCUAAAGAACUUUUAAACUCCACUAUUGCAUUUUUGUGAAAGGCUGACGUGGGGUUAUCAAUACGCAGUACCCUUGCAAUGUAGCCAUGCUGCUCUAAAUAGUCAGUUAGUUCUGUAUCUGUUUCUGUCUCAGUUAACCCACUAACAAGAACUGAGUUAGCAACAUUAACUUCUUCCUGUUCUACAAUUUCCAUGGUGAGUAUACACUUUGAGUGCUAUUUUAGAUCUAGAUUUUGUUUAGCUUAUUUAUAUAGUUUUUAGGUGUGUGUUCUAAUUAUUUGGUCUCACUGCUUCCAGUUUUAUUACUCCUGGCUGGCUCGCCAAGUUCUGUAGCACCACAGAUAUAUAGACCCAAUUACACAACCACUACAAUGAGUGUUACUUGAUAAAAUAAUUAGGAUAGUUCUAGGACCAGUUAGGUUCGCUCUAGGAGCAAUACACAUGGAAGAAAUGAGACCAGAAUUUGUGCAGCAAUAAAGUGUAUUAAAAUGUCAAUCAAUGCCAGUAGGUAAAUAA
Astyanax mexicanus (Mexican tetra) is the source of this 1988-nucleotide long non-coding RNA. RefSeq lists it as uncharacterized. The transcript is spliced from 3 exons. Lineage: Eukaryota; Metazoa; Chordata; Actinopteri; Characiformes; Acestrorhamphidae. The record is from RefSeq and is a predicted model, not a curated record.